This 447-nucleotide ribosomal RNA is filed under the name uncultured bacterium. RNAcentral describes it as "bacterial SSU rRNA". It matches the Rfam family "Bacterial small subunit ribosomal RNA", at positions 355 to 825 of the family's 1533-position model. The record is from RNAcentral.
UCGGGAAUUUUGGGCAAUGGGCGAAAGCCUGACCCAGCAACGCCGCGUGAAGGAUGAAGUAUUUCGGUAUGUAAACUUCGAAGGAAUAGGAAGAAUAAAUGACGGUACUAUUUAUAAGGUCCGGCUAACUACGUGCCAGCAGCCGCGGUAAUACGUAGGGACCAAGCGUUGUUCGGAUUUACUGGGCGUAAAGGGCGCGUAGGCGGCAAUUCAAGUCAUCUGUGAAAUCUCCGGGCUUAACUCGGAACGGUCAGAUGAUACUGCUUUGCUAGAGUGCAGAAGGGGCAAUCGGAAUUCUUGGUGUAGCGGUGAAAUGCGUAGAUAUCAAGAGGAACACCUGAGGUGAAGACGGGUUGCUGGGCUGACACUGACGCUGAGGCGCGAAAGCCAGGGGAGCAAACGGGAUUAGAUACCCCAGUAGUCCCUGAGCGGGCUGGCAAGGCGCAU